GAAUUGCAAUGAUGAUACCAUAAAAGCAUAGUUCAGCUGAGUGACAAGCAUGCUGAUACUCCAAUCCAUCGAUUUGCACGUCAGUCUGAGUCAAUUC
This 97-nucleotide small nucleolar RNA is filed under the name Schizosaccharomyces japonicus yFS275. RNAcentral's name for it is "small nucleolar RNA snR60/Z15/Z230/Z193/J17". It matches the Rfam family "Small nucleolar RNA snR60/Z15/Z230/Z193/J17". Rfam says of the family: The members of this family belong to the C/D class of snoRNAs which contain the C (UGAUGA) and D (CUGA) box motifs. Most of the members of the box C/D family function in directing site-specific 2'-O-methylation of substrate RNAs. Lineage: Eukaryota; Fungi; Ascomycota; Schizosaccharomycetes; Schizosaccharomycetales; Schizosaccharomycetaceae. The record is from Rfam by way of RNAcentral.